RNAcentral lists this ribosomal RNA (409 nucleotides) under uncultured bacterium. Its description in RNAcentral is "bacterial SSU rRNA". It matches the Rfam family "Bacterial small subunit ribosomal RNA", at positions 335 to 762 of the family's 1533-position model. The record is from RNAcentral.
ACUCCUACGGGAGGCAGCAGUGGGGAAUAUUGGACAAUGGGCGAAAGCCUGAUCCAGCAAUGCCGCGUGAGUGAUGAAGGCCCUCGGGUCGUAAAGCUCUUUUACCAGGGAUGAUAAUGACAGUACCUGGAGAAUAAGCUCCGGCUAACUCCGUGCCAGCAGCCGCGGUAAUACGGAGGAGCUAGCGUUGUUCGGAAUUACUGGGCGUAAAGCGCACGUAGGCGGCUACUCAAGUCAGAGGUGAAAGCCCGGGGCUCAACCCCGGAACUGCCUUUGAAACUAGGUAGCUAGAAUCUUGGAGAGGCGAGUGGAAUUCCGAGUGUAGAGGUGAAAUUCGUAGAUAUUCGGAAGAACACCAGUGGCGAAGGCGACUCGCUGGACAAGUAUUGACGCUGAGGUGCGAAAGGCU